RNAcentral lists this ribosomal RNA (433 nucleotides) under uncultured bacterium. RNAcentral describes it as "partial 16S ribosomal RNA". It matches the Rfam family "Bacterial small subunit ribosomal RNA", at positions 29 to 507 of the family's 1533-position model. The record is from RNAcentral.
AACGAACGCUGGCGGCAUGCCUAACACAUGCAAGUCGAACGAGACCUUCGGGUCUAGUGGCGCACGGGUGCGUAACGCGUGGGAACCUGCCCUUAGGUUCGGAAUAACUCCCCGAAAGGGGUGCUAAUACCGGAUAAUGUCUUCGGACCAAAGAUUUAUCGCCUUUGGAUGGGCCCGCGUUGGAUUAGCUAGUUGGUAGGGUAAAAGCCUACCAAGGCGACGAUCCAUAGCUGGUCUGAGAGGAUGAUCAGCCACACUGGGACUAAGACACGGCCCAGACUCCUACGGGAGGCAGCAGUGGGGAAUAUUGGACAAUGGGCGAAAGCCUGAUCCAGCAAUGCCGCGUGAGUGAUGAAGGCCUUAGGAUUGUAAAGCUCUUUUACCCGGGAUGAUAAUGACAGUACCGGGAGAAUAAGCUCCGGCUAACUCCGUG